UUAUUAGCCUAAUACCACUUAUGUUAAGCCUGACCUAAACUUCUCACUUCAGGAAGCUAAAGAAGGUUUUGUGUUUUCUUGGUCCGGCCUCCUUGAUCAUUGUUGUCUAUAAGCAAAGAUUUUCUAAUUAAGAUACCACAAAAGCUUGGGGUUAGAGAAAAUAAACUUUAAGUUAGAAAGGGUUAAGAGGAAGUUGGUCACA
This 202-nucleotide long non-coding RNA is filed under the name Homo sapiens (human). RNAcentral describes it as "non-protein coding lnc-PAPOLG-11:1". Lineage: Eukaryota; Metazoa; Chordata; Mammalia; Primates; Hominidae. The record is from RNAcentral.